This 636-nucleotide long non-coding RNA is filed under the name Elaeis guineensis (African oil palm). Its description in RNAcentral is "long non-coding RNA (EGUI_LNC019387)". Lineage: Eukaryota; Viridiplantae; Streptophyta; Magnoliopsida; Arecales; Arecaceae. The record is from RNAcentral.
UUAAAACAUAAUCUCGAUCAUUGUUCCACAUUAUUCUUCUGGUGUCAAGAAGAUGCAUCUCUAUCUACCAAAUCCGUAAUCAAGGCCACACAAAGUCUGCAAUAAUGCCAGUUUCUUUAGUAAUGAUGAUGCAUUAACGUUCUUUAAUCUUCCAAACAGUUGUAUACAUGCAAGAGUUUCAAAAAAACCAUCAAUAUUACAUUGUUUCUAUGUUCAAAGAAUUUUAAAACCUCCUGCGUCGAUAAGCAGCAGCAAUUACAAUUAUCCUUCAUGUCAAUUAGGCCUCUCGCACCAAGAUGAUGCUCCCUCUGUUCAUUGGAUCUUCAACUCAUGACGUGAGAAGGAUGUCUUUAUGCAGCAACUGGAAUUAGAAAAAGAAGAAGCUGAAAUGGUGAGAUGCAGUCCCUCCAAGGAGUGCUGGAUGGGGUAUGAUAUCUUGGCUUUGCAGUGAAGAUGACAGGAUCUGAAGCGAGAGCCAUGCAAGGCACAGCUGCAGUUGCGAUGGUACGGCCUCUGUCGGAUUUCUGAAUCGAAGGCUCGUAUACAGCCUUCAAGAGCACACCGGAUCCAUCCCUGAGCUCCAGUGGCCAUUAAUCUCCCCUCUGGUAGAUUGAAUCCGCCCAGCUCCUUGCUUGG